AUUGAACGCUGGCGGCAUGCCUUACACAUGCAAGUCGAACGGUAACAGGUCUUCGGUUGCUGACGAGUGGCGAACGGGUGAGUAAUACAUCGGCACGUGCCCGCUCGUGGGGGAUAACGAGGCGAAAGCUUUGCUAAUACCGCAUACGAUCUACGGAUGAAAGCGGGGGAUCUUCGGACCUCGCGCGGACGGAGCGGCCGAUGGCAGAUUAGGUAGUUGGUGGGAUAAAAGCUUACCAAGCCGACGAUCUGUAGCUGGUCUGAGAGGAUGAUCAGCCACACUGGGACUGAGACACGGCCCAGACUCCUACGGGAGGCAGCAGUGGGGAAUUUUGGACAAUGGGCGAAAGCCUGAUCCAGCCAUGCCGCGUGCAGGAUGAAGGCCUUCGGGUUGUAAACUGCUUUUGUACGGAACGAAAAGCCUCUUACUAAUAAAGAGGGGUCAUGACGGUACCGUAAGAAUAAGCACCGGCUAACUACGUG
This 482-nucleotide ribosomal RNA is filed under the name uncultured bacterium. RNAcentral's name for it is "partial 16S ribosomal RNA". It matches the Rfam family "Bacterial small subunit ribosomal RNA", at positions 30 to 507 of the family's 1533-position model. The record is from RNAcentral.